This 448-nucleotide ribosomal RNA is filed under the name uncultured Oxobacter sp. RNAcentral describes it as "bacterial SSU rRNA". It matches the Rfam family "Bacterial small subunit ribosomal RNA", at positions 355 to 794 of the family's 1533-position model. The record is from RNAcentral. Lineage: Bacteria; Bacillati; Bacillota; Clostridia; Eubacteriales; Clostridiaceae.
CUAAGAAUCUUCCACAAUGGACGGAAGUCUGAUGGAGCGACGCCGCGUGGACGAUGAAGGCCGUGAGGUUGUAAAGUCCUUUUCGGGAGGGGGAAUAACCUGGGGAGGGAAUGCCCCGGGGAUGACGUGAAUCCCGGAAUAAGCCCCGGCUAACUACGUGCCAGCAGCCGCGGUAAUACGUAGGGGGCGAGCGUUGUCCGGAAUUACUGGGCGUAAAGGGUGCGUAGGCGGUUUUGUAAGUUGGAUGUGAAAAUACCCGGGCUUAACUUGGGGGCUGCAUCCAAUACUGCAGGACUUGAGUGCAGGAGAGGAAAGCGGAAUUCCUAGUGUAGCGGUGAAAUGCGUAGAUAUUAGGAGGAACACCGGUGGCGAAGGCGGCUUUCUGGACUGUAACUGACGCUGAGGCACGAAAGCGUGGGGAGCAAACAGGAUUAGAUACCCUGGUAGU